RNAcentral lists this ribosomal RNA (1093 nucleotides) under uncultured archaeon. Its description in RNAcentral is "bacterial SSU rRNA". It matches the Rfam family "Archaeal small subunit ribosomal RNA", at positions 1 to 1104 of the family's 1478-position model. The record is from RNAcentral.
UCCGGUUGAUCCUGCCAGAGGCGACCGCUUUUGGAGUUCGAUUAAGCCAUGCGAGUAGAAUGAAUUAGAUUCAUUGCAAACUGCUCAGUAACACGUGGAUAACCUGCCCUAUGCUCUGGGAUAACCUCGGGAAACUGAGAAUAAUACCGGAUAGAUCACAACGCCUGGAACGGUGUGUGGUUCAAAGGUUACGGCAUAGGAUGGGUCUGCGGCGUAUCAGGUCGUAGGGGGUGUAAUGGACCCCCUAGCCAUCGACGCGUACGGGUGUUGGGAGACAUAGCCCGGAGACGGAUUCUGAGACACGAAUCCGGACCCUACGGGGUGCAGCAGGCGCGAAAACUUCACACUGCAGGAAACUGUGAUGAGGGAACUCCAAGUGGAUGCACAUAGUGUAUCUCUUUUCCUUACUAUUAAUCGGUAGGGGAAUAAGGGCUGGGAAAGACCGGUGCCAGCCGCCGCGGUAAUACCGGCAGCUCGAGUGGUCGUCGCUUUUAUUGGGCCUAAAACGUCCGUAGCCGGUUUGGUAAAUCUGUGGGUAAAUCAACUAGCUUAACUAGUUGAAUUCUGCAGAGACUGCCAGACUAGGAACCGGGAGAGGUGUGGGGUACUCAAGGGGUAGGGGUAAAAUCCUGUCAUCCUUUGGAGACCACCAGUUGCGAAGGCGCCACACUGGAACGGAUUCGACGGUCAGGGACGAAGCCUAGGGGCACGAACCGGAUUAGAUACCCGGGUAGUCCUAGGUGUAAACGCUGUGAACUUGGUGUCGGGAGUCCGCAAUGGGCCCCCGGUGCCGGAGUGAAGAUGUUAAGUUCACUGCCUGGGGAGUACGGUCGCAAGGCUGAAACUUAAAGGAAUUGGCGGGGGAGCACUGCAACGCGAGGAGCGUGCGGUUUAAUUGGAUUCAACGCCGGAAAACUCACCAUGGCCGACUGUUAGAUGAAGACCAGCGUAAUGAGCUUGUCGGAUUUUCAGAGAGGUGGUGCAUGGCCGUCGUCAGUUCGUACUGUAAAGCGUUCUGUUAAGUCAGAUAACGAACGAGACCCUCAUCUCUAUUUGCUACCCUUCUCUCCGGAGGAGGCGCACCAUAGAGAGA